GGACUAAUGUUGGAGCAGUUGGGGAUGUUUGGUCGUUGUCUGGACAGAAGCUGUCUGACAGUGGUCUGUGCUGCUAAGAUUUUAGAGGGAGGUCUGUGAGGAGGAGAUUAUUGCAUGCUUGGAGCGUGGCUGAGUGUAGCAUCCUCAUCUGUGAGCUGCUGUCAUCUGGAAGGCUUCAGUGGAUGAGAGAGAAAAGCAACGUAGGAUAAACUUUAAGACAAAUAAAGAAACUUUAAUAACAGCUCUGAUAAAGACUGGUCACAAAAACGUAGGAGGUGCUGUUCAGGCAUUUAUUUAUUCGUGUAAAACACUAUAAAGUCUCAGCCCACUUAAUUUGGCUGCUGGAGGUCCUUAGGCCAUCUCUGUCACUGUGUGGGUGGCAGUAGGGGAGCAGUGCUCUGAAAUGUUUUGCUUUGCUUCCCCCUUGUGAGAGCUGUGGGUAAUACAAGUGAGUAUUUUUUCAUUAGCUGUUAAUUGUGAGUGUGUAGGAGGGUAAAAAAACUACUGGUCUGUGACUGUACUGUUUGUGACUUUAUAAAAGGUAGAGAUGAGGUACUCUGCAUUGCAAGGGGGAUUUGUGCUUCAGCUGAUCCUAGUUUGACUUCUGUUCCUGUUACCUGUUUAGGGGCUGGUGCAGAUUGCUUUGUAGGAUAACUUGAUUGGCCUAAAUGAAUUACACAGGGAACAGGAAUGGGCUAAUACCCAUAUCAGCCUCAAAGAGAAAUGUGUGAGACUUAGGAAUGUGGUGCAUCCAUAAUACAAGACAGUUUCUUGACAGCAUCAAAUAGUUCAGGCUUGGAAUCUCAGCAGAUGUUAAAAGCCACAAACUCCAAGGCAGCUCCCUUAGCAAGGGAUGGCCUGACUCAAACAACAGUUCAAGUGGCAAGACCUGAAAACAUGCCUUGGUAGGUCAGGUUUGGCAGUCUUAUUGCCCUUCACCCCAUAGAGGUUUUCCAUUACUUGAUGCGUGCAGAGCUUUGAGCAGCGUGCUCCAUCCACCUGUGGGUUAUGUAACUGAAUUCUGUGUGUCUGUAAAGUUUGUGCCCUAUGAAUACAAGCUGAGAUUCAGGUGGGUUUUUUUAUUAUUACUAUGUCAAUCUUUUUUUUUGCUGUCUUGUGAGCUGCCAAAUGAAGGCAGUUUCCUGCAAGCCCAGAGAUUGAGGGUCACUUUCUCUCCAUCGUUCUGCAUUGCACAGCACUUCUCCCCCUGCUCCCAUGAAAACUGAAUAGCUCAUUUCUAUUUGAAGGUUUUUGAAACAGAAACAAAAUAGGACAUAACCUUGCUGAGUUGGCUGGCUGCAGUGUUUUUUGAUUAGAGAUAAGUGGAGUAAUUAGUGUAUUGCCUAGCCUGAAAGCAAUCCCUAGCUCUGCAGUUGCAGCUGUGCUCAGCGCCAGUGGUAAAUGGCCUGACUUUGCUCAUGUUGUAAUAGUGCCUCCUCAUUCACAAGUGCUGCUUGUUAAGAAAUUGACACUCAAGUCAUCCUUACCUCUUUAAUAAAUAGAAUGCAAUUAUAAUCAUCUGUAAUGUCUGUUGAAAGCUCAGGUUGUAUCUUUUUUUCACCAGUAUAGUGAUCUGCCA
This 1579-nucleotide long non-coding RNA is filed under the name Gallus gallus (chicken). RNAcentral's name for it is "partial MSTRG.8138.1". Lineage: Eukaryota; Metazoa; Chordata; Aves; Galliformes; Phasianidae. The record is from RNAcentral.